RNAcentral lists this ribosomal RNA (153 nucleotides) under Saccorhiza dermatodea. RNAcentral describes it as "5.8S ribosomal RNA". It matches the Rfam family "5.8S ribosomal RNA". From Rfam's summary of the family: 5.8S ribosomal RNA (5.8S rRNA) is a component of the large subunit of the eukaryotic ribosome. It is transcribed by RNA polymerase I as part of the 45S precursor that also contains 18S and 28S rRNA. Lineage: Eukaryota; Phaeophyceae; Tilopteridales; Phyllariaceae. The record is from RNAcentral.
CUUUCAGCGACGGAUGUCUUGGCUCCCACAACGAUGAAGAACGCAGCGAAAUGCGAUACGUCUUGCGACUUGCAGAAUCCAGUGAAUCAUCAAAACUUUGAACGCAUCUUGCGCUUCCGGGAUAUGCCUGGGAGCAUGCUUGUCGGAGUGUCU